RNAcentral lists this non-coding RNA (24 nucleotides) under Arabidopsis thaliana (thale cress). The record is from RNAcentral. Lineage: Eukaryota; Viridiplantae; Streptophyta; Magnoliopsida; Brassicales; Brassicaceae.
GGGAAGUACAUUUUAAAUGUAACC